GACUUUUUUCCCAUUGAGAGUAUUGCUUUAGAUUUUUAUGGUCUUUAAAUAAAACCAUAGAGUUCAAUAUCACAAACAACAAACUGAUAAAUUCUUAACAAAAUUUUCAUGGCUUCUUCUUCUUCUUCUUCUUCUUUUCCUGAUGUAUAUGCCUGGCUUGAAAGCCUUCCACUAAUCCCCCAAUGGAAAACAGAUUCCAUGUCCAUGAAUCUAUGCCCAUUUUCAUCAAUCCCUUCCUUGAAACUCUCAAUUAAGAACUAUAACUCAUCAUUCUCUCUCUCUAUAUGCGCAGAUUAUAAUCUCCCUCUCUCUCUCUGGAACUCUAAAACCUUUUCACCAAAUCCCAUAUCAAAGAAACUUCUAGACGAUCAUGAAACAGUUUCAUUUCUCUUCC
Molecule: long non-coding RNA, 394 nt
Filed under: Olea europaea subsp. europaea
Lineage: Eukaryota; Viridiplantae; Streptophyta; Magnoliopsida; Lamiales; Oleaceae
Source: RNAcentral